RNAcentral lists this unclassified non-coding RNA (1247 nucleotides) under Hevea brasiliensis (rubber tree). The record is from RNAcentral. Lineage: Eukaryota; Viridiplantae; Streptophyta; Magnoliopsida; Malpighiales; Euphorbiaceae.
UCCACCCCAACUUCACAGUCUGAAUGUACUGCUGAAGAAGCUUAUACAUGGAGUGAGGGUCGUGCCAUUUUUGCUAGUGGAAGCCCAUUUGCCCCUGUUGAAUACGAGGGGAAAGUUUAUGUGCCUGGUCAGGCAAACAAUGCAUACAUUUUCCCUGGAUUUGGUCUGGGUUUGAUAAUGUCUGGUACAAUCCGUGUUCAUGAUGAUAUGCUUCUGGCAGCAUGUAAGUGAACAAAAAAUACAAGUACUUAAGAUUUCGCCUUAAAUUACCAAGAUAGUGAAGUUGUUGGGAACUUUAUGUAUUUAAAUUAUGUAAAGUCUCCUAUCAUCAUUUAGAAUAAAUAGGUGUUGUUCUUACUUGAAAACAUCUGAAUCAAUGAUACUACGUGAAUGAAUUCUGAGUUGGAAUAUGGGAUACAUCUAAAAAUAGGACCUGCAACAUAGAAGGACCUAAAAUAGCAUAGGUUUUUCUUUGUUCCCUCUGGCUUGAUCUUAUAAUUCUGCCUUUGGCUCUCUUGAACGUUCUGAUAUUUAGGAUAGGGUUAUGGAGGUUUUGUUCCUAGGUUUUUAACUAGUUCUAUGUUUGUGCUUAUUUCCUUGGUCCAGCGGAAGCUUUGGCUGCGCAGGUGACCCAGGAGAACUUUGACAAGGGACUCAUAUACCCACCGUUUGCAAACAUCAGAAAUAUUUCAGCACAAAUCGCUGCCAACGUGGCCACUAAAGCUUAUGAACUUGGUUUGGCUACUCGCCUCCCUCAGCCUAAGGAUCUGGUGAAGUAUGCUGAAAGCUGUAUGUACAGCCCUGCCUACCGAAGCUACCGAUGAAGCAGCAGAAGCUUCCCACGCUAAACUAUGCCUCCACCUCAUCCCCGAAGGGAAGGUGGCAAAAAAAUAUUAAAAGAAAUAUUAGAGGUUCACUUUUAGCACAUAAUCAGCUGGUUUGUAAUUUUUUCCCGUUCUUCCCCUUAUUUUUUCAGUUUUUAUUGUUAAUCCUUUCUUUUAUGGCUUGAAAAAGCUGUUGUGAACUUGAAAAAUCUCACAUGGAAAUGAAAUUCAAUAGUGUUCUUUGACUUGUAAUCUACUCAGAAUAGUCCUUCUGUAAUAUAAGGGAAUAAAUUAGUAAAUAACAUUAAUUCCAGGAAGGUGACAGCAGUUGGCCAAGUGAAUCCAACCCAAAAUUGCCUGGAUGCUCUUGGACUAGUCAACAUGAAAGCUAUUGAAAGAAUUAAGUAAACAAGUGGGAUUUUG